UCAAAUCAAAGGCAAAACAGACGAAAGUCUGUGACGCAAAACUAUAGGGGCCGAAAUAGCCAGCCAGUUGCAUUC
This 75-nucleotide non-coding RNA is filed under the name [Eubacterium] cellulosolvens. Its description in RNAcentral is "Eubacterium cellulosolvens c-di-GMP sequence". It matches the Rfam family "c-di-GMP-I riboswitch aptamer". Rfam says of the family: GEMM was predicted in a large-scale screen for bacterial structured RNA regulatory elements. Genes associated with GEMM are involved in a diverse array of functions, including chemotaxis regulation, signal transduction, secretion and chitin. Lineage: Bacteria; Bacillati; Bacillota; Clostridia; Eubacteriales; Eubacteriaceae. The record is from RNAcentral.